RNAcentral lists this ribosomal RNA (347 nucleotides) under uncultured eukaryote. RNAcentral describes it as "partial 18S ribosomal RNA". It matches the Rfam family "Eukaryotic small subunit ribosomal RNA", at positions 592 to 976 of the family's 1831-position model. The record is from RNAcentral.
UCCUAGUGUAUGCAAAAGUUGCUGCAGUUAAAACGCUCCUACUCGGUGAUGUGGGCAUUUGCGACACCCGCUUUUAGUGUGUGUGUUGUGACGCCCUUCUGCGCUGUCCUUCGGGGCAGUGCCGGUUACCAUGAUUAAAUUUUAGUGCUCAGAGCAAGCUUUAUGCAGCUGAAAAACUUAGCAUGGGAUAACAAGUCACGACUUGUCGCGAUUUGUUGGUGUUUUCGACGGAGUAAUGAGAAAUAGGGGCGGUUGGGGGCCUUAGUACGAUGCCGUUAGAGGUGAAAUUCCAAGAUCGGCGUCAGACUAACUGAAGCGAAAGCGUUGGCCAAGGACGCUCUCAUUGA